AUGCCUAACACAUGCAAGUCGAACGGCUCUUCGGAGCAGUGGCGCACGGGUGAGUAACGCGUGGGAAUCUACCCUGAGGUUCGGAAUAACGGUUGGAAACGACCGCUAAUACCGGAUGUGCCCUAUGGGGCAAAGGCUUGCCGCCUUGGGAGGAGCCCGCGUCCGAUUAGCUUGUUGGUGGGGUAACGGCCUACCAAGGCGACGAUCGGUAGCUGGUCUGAGAGGAUGAUCAGCCACACUGGGACUGAGACACGGCCCAGACUCCUACGGGAGGCAGCAGUGGGGAAUAUUGGACAAUGGGCGAAAGCCUGAUCCAGCAAUGCCGCGUGUGUGACGAAGGCCUUAGGGUUGUAAAACACUUUCGCCGAUGAC
Molecule: ribosomal RNA, 372 nt
Filed under: alpha proteobacterium BAL199
Lineage: Bacteria; Pseudomonadati; Pseudomonadota; Alphaproteobacteria
Description: bacterial SSU rRNA
Rfam family: Bacterial small subunit ribosomal RNA
Source: RNAcentral